RNAcentral lists this transfer RNA (72 nucleotides) under Danionella translucida. It matches the Rfam family "tRNA". From Rfam's summary of the family: Transfer RNA (tRNA) molecules are approximately 80 nucleotides in length. Their secondary structure includes four short double-helical elements and three loops (D, anti-codon, and T loops). RNAcentral also lists the same sequence under 1 other name. Lineage: Eukaryota; Metazoa; Chordata; Actinopteri; Cypriniformes; Danionidae. The record is from Rfam by way of RNAcentral.
GCGUUGGUGGUAUAGUGGUGAGCAUAGCUGCCUUCUAAGCAGUUGACCUGGGUUCGAUUCCCGGCCAACGCA